UAGGGAAUCUUCGGCAAUGGACGGAAGUCUGACCGAGCAACGCCGCGUGAGUGAAGAAGGUUUUCGGAUCGUAAAGCUCUGUUGUUAGAGAAGAACGUUGGUAGGAGUGGAAAAUCUACCAAGUGACGGUAACUAACCAGAAAGGGACGGCUAACUACGUGCCAGCAGCCGCGGUAAUACGUAGGUCCCGAGCGUUGUCCGGAUUUAUUGGGCGUAAAGCGAGCGCAGGCGGUUCUUUAAGUCUGAAGUUAAAGGCAGUGGCUUAACCAUUGUACGCUUUGGAAACUGGAGGACUGGAGUGCAGAAGGGGAGAGGGGAAUUCCAGGUGUAACGGUGAAAUGCGUAGAUAUAUGGAGGAACACCGGUGGCGAAAGCGGCUCUCGGGUCUGUAACGGACGCUGAGGCUCGAAAGCGUGGGGAGCAAACAGG
This 429-nucleotide ribosomal RNA is filed under the name Bacillota bacterium. RNAcentral's name for it is "Firmicutes bacterium partial 16S ribosomal RNA". It matches the Rfam family "Bacterial small subunit ribosomal RNA", at positions 355 to 776 of the family's 1533-position model. Lineage: Bacteria; Bacillati; Bacillota. The record is from RNAcentral.